RNAcentral lists this ribosomal RNA (253 nucleotides) under uncultured bacterium. RNAcentral describes it as "partial 16S ribosomal RNA". It matches the Rfam family "Bacterial small subunit ribosomal RNA", at positions 524 to 776 of the family's 1533-position model. The record is from RNAcentral.
UACAGAGGGGGCGAGCGUUGCUCGGAAUUACUGGGCGUAAAGCGCACGUAGGCGGAUUGUUAAGUCGGGGGUGAAAUCCUGGAGCUCAACUCCAGAACUGCCUUUUAUACUGAAGAUCUUGAGUUCGGGAGAGGUGAGUGGAACUGCGAGUGUAGAGGUGAAAUUCGUAGAUAUUCGCAAGAACACCAGUGGCGAAGGCGGCUCACUGGCCCGAUACUGACGCUGAGGCACGAAAGCGUGGGGAGCAAACAGG